CUCCCCCCCCCACCCCCGUCUUCCAAGUUCCCAGGGCGUUUGUUUGAUGUCUUUUUCUGUUCGAUUAUUGGACCCUAAGGACGGACCCAGGGUCAGUAGGUGACAUACAAAAAUGAACGAAUUGAGCGGUUCUUAUCACCUCCCUUGCUCCCCCCCCCUGUGUCCACAGCGCCUAGCACGUAGUAGGCGCUCCUUAAACAUCUGGAGAGCAAAUGAGCUGCAAGUUUGCGGCGCUGAGCACGUGGGACUGGGGAAACCAGGACAGCAGAGGAGGGUGUCCCCGACCACAAAAGCCAUGCGGGCGCGUGCAGAAGGCUGCGGCGGGCGCUGCCUGCGUGGCGCCCGGGGCGGGGGCGCGGGGGCCCGCGGCAGCACGUGCGCGCCGCCGGCAGGCUCGCGUGAGACGCCGGCCCGCCAGCCAGCCGCUCCGCGAUCCAACCCGCGCGCCCCCAACGGCCCCCCAACCGCCGCCCAGGCCCGAGGGCGCCAUGAGUAGCCCGCGCUGCGCCCCGCUGCUGCUCCUGCUGCUGCUGCCGCCGCUGCUGCUCAAACCCCCCGCGGGGGACGCCGCCGUCAUCACCGGGGCCUGCGACAAGGACCCCCAGUGUGGUGGAGGCAUGUGCUGUGCUGUUAGUAUCUGGGUUAAGAGCAUACGGAUUUGCACACCGAUGGGCAAAGUGGGAGACAGCUGCCAUCCGCUGACUCGUAAAGACGACCUACGUGACAAGCCAAAGAGUGGCCAAGGUGUCGAGAUGCACAGAGCACCACACUGAAACCAAGAGGACACUUCUUCUGAGUACCUGAAACUAUCUUACUGGGUAUCUGUCAUUAAAAUUUAAGUUCCAUGAAGGGCAGAGGCCUUUCCUGUUUGGUUCUUCACUGUAUCUGCAGCACCUAAAGUAGGGUCUGAUAUGUUGGUGACACUCAGUAAAUGCCUGUUGAAUGAAUGAAUGAAAGACACGUGCUUGGCGUUCUCCAUGGGUACAGUUUGACACCCUUAUUACAGUUAGAGCUCACUUGUUCCAGGCUCCUUGGAUAUCGCUGUCUGUGUUCAUUUUUCUCAACCUCAGCACCGUUGACAUUUUUUGGACAUUUUUUUAUACCAGAUAAUUCUUUGCUGCGGAUACUGUCCCCUGAGUUGUGGGAUGUUUAGCAACAUCCUUGGCCUGUAGCCACUGGGGGCCGGUAGUGCUGCCCCCUCUCCUCAUUUGUGACGCACAAAAAUGUCUCUGGACGUUACCAGAUGUCCCCUGGGGGGCUGGGGGCAGAAUCACCCCAAAUUGAGAACCAUUGGUUCGUGUAGUCGUUUGGGGCUUGGUGAAAGGAAUCUCUCAGAUCUCAGGGUCACGAAAGGAUCAUAAAGGUCAUGAGUUACAGCAUCUCAUACCAUCCACUUGUAAUUGUCCAGGCCAUUCCUGCUGCCUCCACCUCCUCUGACGUAGUCUCGGGGGCAACAAAUGAGCCAGCUAUCCGUGGGCCUUUCGACACACACAGUGACAGAACCAUUCUAGCACGCGUCUGCAUGGAGCCGAUGGCCAAGGUGCUCCCGAGUAGACGCUGUCGUUAGAGCCUUGAAAAUAAUGCUCUUGCAAAAAGACAGCGGAACUGGAAUGGCUCUGCCUGUCCACCUCAUACCUCCCCUGCCGUCCUACUGCUUCCCUUUCUUCCCUGUGUAUUUAUGAUCUCAACCAUCUCCCUGGCCCUUCCAGAACCAUUUUGGAAAUGGAAGGCAGGAAAGAAGAAAGAGGAAGAGAAGAAAAAGGAAAAAGGAGGUUCCAUUUUUUGGACGGAGAAUGCAUCACACGUGUCCAUGCCUGCCCGGCUUAGCCUGUUCACGGACUUCGUUUAACCGAUAUACUUGUUUAGCCCGAAAGUAACCA
Aethalodelphis obliquidens (Pacific white-sided dolphin) is the source of this 1880-nucleotide RNA transcript. It is a transcript of the gene named prokineticin 2, with no coding region annotated. The record is from RefSeq and is a predicted model, not a curated record. The transcript is spliced from 5 exons. Lineage: Eukaryota; Metazoa; Chordata; Mammalia; Artiodactyla; Delphinidae.